GUUGCUUCUAGGCCUUUUGGCUAAGAUCAAGUGUAGUAUCAAAUUUGCAUUAUGGAUAUUUGUUGAAUGGCAUAUAAUCUGGGUUUUUUGCCAUUUGGUUUUAUAUGUGCACUCUCCCCCUGCUAUUUUAAAGGGAAAAUAUUUU
Molecule: small nuclear RNA, 145 nt
Filed under: Podarcis muralis (Common wall lizard)
Lineage: Eukaryota; Metazoa; Chordata; Lepidosauria; Squamata; Lacertidae
Description: U2 spliceosomal RNA (ENSPMRG00000017812.1)
Rfam family: U2 spliceosomal RNA
About the family: U2 is a small nuclear RNA (snRNA) component of the spliceosome (involved in pre-mRNA splicing).
Source: RNAcentral